RNAcentral lists this ribosomal RNA (180 nucleotides) under uncultured Glomeromycotina. RNAcentral's name for it is "partial small subunit ribosomal RNA". The stretch from base 50 to 180 matches the Rfam family "Eukaryotic small subunit ribosomal RNA", at positions 694 to 827 of the family's 1831-position model. Lineage: Eukaryota; Fungi; Glomeromycota. The record is from RNAcentral.
GACCUGGCUGGGUGGUCUUUCUGAAUAGGGAAGCACUGCUCUGGCUGGGUCUUUCCUUCUGGGGAUCCGGUGUGCUCUUUAUUGAGUGCAUCGGGAAUCCAGGACUUUUACUUUGAAAAAAUUAGAGUGUUUAAAGCAGGCAGUUGCUUGAAUAGAUUAGCAUGGAAUAAUAGAAUAGGA